CGGACGGGUGAGUAACGCGUGAGUAACCUGCCUUUCAGAGGGGGAUAACGUUCUGAAAAGAACGCUAAUACCGCAUAACAUCAAUUUAUCGCAUGAUAGGUUGAUCAAAGGAGCAAUCCGCUGGAAGAUGGACUCGCGUCCGAUUAGCCAGUUGGCGGGGUAACGGCCCACCAAAGCGACGAUCGGUAGCCGGACUGAGAGGCUGAACGGCCACAUUGGGACUGAGACACGGCCCAGACUCCUACGGGAGGCAGCAUG
This 258-nucleotide ribosomal RNA is filed under the name uncultured bacterium. RNAcentral describes it as "partial 16S ribosomal RNA". It matches the Rfam family "Bacterial small subunit ribosomal RNA", at positions 99 to 353 of the family's 1533-position model. The record is from RNAcentral.